CUCCUCACCCAGUAACAGAGUCCCAAACACAAUCAGUGCCUUGGCUUGGAAAAGCAGAAUUCCAUGGAAUGAAGGAACCUCCAACUCCUCCCAAAACUCCCAGGAAAGGAACAACCAUUCCUUAUAAACUCAAUCACUGUCUUGGUUUGAAAAAGAAGAACUUCCACAGAAAGAAGGAACCUCUGACUCCUCCCAGAACUCCCAGGAACAAUUCCUCACCCAAUAACUGAAUCCCAAACUCCAUCACUGUUUUAGCUUAGAAAAUCAGAAUUCCAUUGAAUGAACGAUCAUCUUACUCCUCCCAGGAGCAACCAGGGAAGGAACAACCACUCCUCACCCAGUAACAGAGUCCCAAACACAAUCAGUGCCUUGGCUUGGAAAAGCAGAAUUCCAUGGAAUGAAGGAACCUCCAUCUCCUCCCAAAACUCCCAUGAACAAGAAUUCCUCACCCAGUUACAGAACUGGGAAAGGCAAUUCCCGAGUUAAGGCACACCCAGGGAUGUUCAGUUCAUCAGCUCAUCCUUCACAGGCACGACCAUGAAAAGGGAGGCACAAACCAGGUUUGGGCAGGAUUUAAAAUCGGUUUAGGACACAAAAUUCAUGGAAUUGCAGAGCACAAAGUCUUGGGUUUUUUAUCCCAAAACUGAGGAAUCAACCCCAUGUCUUCAGGUCUCCCAGCAGCACCAAUUCCCUGUGCAGGGAAGCGGGAAAAAAAUUACGAGUGGAAAACAUGAGUGAAAAUGGAGUUAUGGAGUUUCUGCACCCCCAGACUGCCCAGAAACCAAGGAGAAACCAACCACAGAAUGGAUCCUCACUUCUCAAUGGUCCGAAAAUCUGGGAUAAAACUCCAGCAGCAACCAGAGGAAGGAACAACCACUCCUCACCCAGUAACAGAACCCCAAACACAAUCAGUGCCUUGGCUUGGAAAAGCAGAAUUCCAUGGAAUGAACGAUCCGACUCCUCCCAAAUGUCCCAGGAACAACCAGGGAAGGAAGAACCAUUGAGGAAUGGUUGUAACAUUAACAGAACAGAACGAGAAUUCCAAACUCAAUCACUGCCUUGGUUUGGAAAAGCAGGAUUCCAUGGAAUGAAGGAACCUCCAACUCCUCCCAAAACUCCCAGGAGCAACAAUUCCUCACCCAGUAACAGAAUUCCAAACUCAAUCACUGCCUUGGUUUGGAAAAGCAGGAUUCCAUGGAAUGAAGGAACCUCCAACUCCUCCC
This 1223-nucleotide long non-coding RNA is filed under the name Ficedula albicollis (Collared flycatcher). Its description in RNAcentral is "lncRNA (ENSFALG00000024612.1)". Lineage: Eukaryota; Metazoa; Chordata; Aves; Passeriformes; Muscicapidae. The record is from RNAcentral.